UGCAUUUUGGGUUUGCCCUGCUUAAACAAUAGAAAACUUAACUGUCAAAGCAGAUUAUUUAGCUUUAGGGAUAAGGCAAACAAAAGGCCAAACAACUCUCUAGGUGUGUUUAGGAGUUCAAACUAGCCCACACCCUUACUGUCCUCUACAUUUAGGAAAGCCAUUGACCAGAGGUAUGGGAGCUCUUACUAUGGAAUUGUUCUUCUACUGAUGCAGCUCAGACUGUAUCUGUUCUCCUGCAGCUGCCCUGAAUUGCUGAGAAUUUGCAUGAUUAAAAAGGGGAAAAGUUCUUCAGCUAUUGUUGCUAAGGAAACUGCCACCUUGAUAUUUGCCUAGUGAGAACAGCUGUCUCUCUUUAUAUCUAAGCAAAGGAGGUCUGGAAGCAACUCUUUGUAGUGGCAAGGUUGCAUAUAUGAUGAAGAUCGUGUGGGGUUACUGACAAGCCUUGCUUGCAGUCAGCGGAGGGCUGUGCUUUGCUAGUUGGCCUGGUGCCUCACGCAGGAGGAAGGCCGUGGCAGCAGAGUGUCAGUGCAUGGUGUAGGUGCCCAGCAGUGUGUGCCACUGGCUUCAGGCCCAUUGCAUGAAGUCAGCCAAUUCUCUACCAUCCUCACUGGGAACUUGUAAAGCGACUGCAAUGUUUUCCAUACUUUGUAGUACCCAGCUUCAGAGUUUGUCAGGACCAAAGCAGCUGUGCGAAUGUGUCGUCGUCCCUGAUUAGGCACUUCUGAUGUCGGAAGCGCGUUCAGACUCCUAAGCUGAAGAAAGUCAGGUAAAGUGAAGCGAUGGAAGUUUGUUAAUGUAUUUAAAUGAAAUGCGGGAUAAAUUUCCCAGCUGGAAAGAAGAAUCAAACAACUUCUUUUUGAUAGCAUUAUGAAAAAUACUUUAUGUUCCUUUUUCCAGCAGCUACCUUUUAAUUGUAAACAAUUCAACACAUCAAAAACGAUUUAGGAUUGUUCUUGAAUCUAAUAAAAUGAGUGAAAAUGUUGCGUUUUUACUGCUG
Molecule: long non-coding RNA, 1000 nt
Filed under: Phasianus colchicus (ring-necked pheasant)
Lineage: Eukaryota; Metazoa; Chordata; Aves; Galliformes; Phasianidae
Description: lncRNA (ENSPCLG00000006387.1)
Source: RNAcentral